Molecule: RNA transcript, 1430 nt
Organism: Cimex lectularius (bed bug)
Lineage: Eukaryota; Metazoa; Arthropoda; Insecta; Hemiptera; Cimicidae
Gene: fwe
Gene name: calcium channel flower
Exons: 7
Source: RefSeq, a predicted model, not a curated record
GAUUCUGGGCAGCUGUUUUCCUGUUGUAAAACAGAUCGUUGAAGAGUCGGUGCCCACUGCCCAGAUCGAAUCUUACCCGAGCCAGAACAGGAACGGUACCGCGGGUCAUCUUAGUUUCGUCGUCAGUCUGGGCGUUUGUCACAGUUGUACGUUAAUUGCCGACAGCCGGCGUAUUCGUUGUCACAGAAUCGGACCAACUCCUUUAGAAAUAUGUCUUUCAUGGAAAAAGUCGGCUCCAUCAUGAGACGGCCGGGGGAGGACGCAGUUCCAAAGGACGAAGUACCCUGGUGGAUGAAGUACGGUGGACGGGGACUCGGCACCGUGGGCGGUGGACUGGCCAUAUUCCUUGGAAUGUUCAAUUGUUUAGGAAUAAUAACUGCUGAUAUAUCUUGUGUGAUUAGUGGGAUUUGGCAAAUGUGUGCAGGGUUUGCGACGUUAGUUAUCGAGGCGCCUUGCUGUUGUCUCUUUCUAGACUUUGUACAGUCGUUAAGUGAAUUUGUGGACCAGCGCCCUUAUUGGAACAGGGCUGCACUUUAUGCGGGGAUUGCUUUACCUCCAAUUUUCUUAUGCUUCAACUUAAGUUCAUUGCUCGGCAGUGGUUUAAUUUUUGGAACAGGUGUUAUCUAUGGAAUGAUGGCUCUCGGCAAAAAGGGUUCGAGAGAGGAUAUGGCUGCCAUGGCAUCACCGACAGGAGUGGCUGUCUCACACCCCGGACCUACAGCACCUCCAGAAUCUACGCUGAUGGAAGAUCCAGAUGUCUGGAGACCCACGUAGACCGUAACGAGCACGUCAGAUGUUUCAGGAAGGAUAGGAGAGGGAAAAAUAAUUUAAAGGACUAGUCGGAAACAAGGGCAAGCAUGGAAGAUAUGAAAGCUGCAGUGCAAAACGAUUCCCAACCACAGAUGUCAGGUGGUAUCAGAUCAAACCUUGUAGAUGGCGCAGCACCUAUGGGCCAUUCGUCGGUAAUUCCUCCAGUAUAAGUAGUUGUAACUGUUAAGUAAUCAAAAAUGUAACUUUAAAAUGUCUUCCUGCGGAUGUCUUUCACUAGUCAAGCCUCUGCCUUUGUUUCCUUCAAAUUGCAAAUUGUUUUUUUCUUCUCCCGUUCAGUCCUGCUUUGGAAUAAUACAUUCCUGUUUGUAUUAGAAAUAUUAUCUUUUCUCUCUUCGGUGUUCUCCCUUAAAUCCUCCCACUUAGUCUGAUUAUAGGUCCUGUAAAGAUAGAUUUUUUUUGUUAUAAUACUCGAACAAAAAAAAAUUACAUUACACAGUAUAGUAAUAUUCAAAAUUGAGAAUGUAAAAACAAAAUCACAUAUUAGAUCAGGAAAUUGUAUUGUAGUUGAUAUAUUUUGUGAGGCAAAAUGUUUUUUUACAUAUAUUCACAUAAAUGAUACAAUUAUUCUUGCAUUAUUUUUGAAUUGAAACUGCCAAUUU